UGGUGCGGGGCUGGUUUGGGUCUAGGAAUUCUUGACCCGCAAAAAGCGGGUUUUGCCGGAUGGGGCUUGCACGGUACCGGGUUUAAAGCGGGAUGGCCCGUAACAACCGCGGGAAGGCCCAGAUGAACCGCUAGACGCUUCAGUUGCUUUCGUCACCUGAAAACAAAACGAAAGAGAGAGUGGGACGAGAUGGAGCUCCGACGAGGCCGUGGGAAGAGAUGACUAUGAUGGCCAUGGGAAGAGAUGGAGCUCCGACGAUGACCGUUCGAUGUCCGACAGGCGACAAUGCUUCUGGUGACCACAUCGUGUUCAAUCUGCAGCAGAGGAGCUUCUCUUCCUUUUCGUUCCACCAAAAGUGAUCAGAGCAACUGUCCCUAAGCUGCUUCUUGAUUAUGUCUUCUCUGCUUCAUCAAGCCACCACCGGUGCUUCUCUGCAUUAUCAAGCCACCACCGGAGCUUCUCUGCUUCAUCAAGCCACCACCGGUGCUUCUCUGCAUUAUCAAGCCACCACCGGAGCUUCUCUGCUUCAUCAAGCCUCCACCGGAGCUUCUCUGAUGCAACGGAUCCAAGUCCAGAACCUCCUGAAGCAAAAAUUAACUGAGAGGAAAUUUGUUGAGAGGCUUGUCCCAUCUUCAUCAGCUUUUUCUUUGCUAUCAGGAACAUGGCUGAGAAAGUACCGUCAUUUAAAAUCGGUGGAACUCUUUGGUUUACUGAUCUAACCACUGCAGAUACUACAUAUAUCUUGCCACUUCUCACCGCCAUCACUUUCAUAAUUAUGGUGGAGUCGAACAUGCAGGAAGGUAUGGAAGGGAAUCCAGUAGCUGGAACUAUGAAGAAAUUCUCAAGAAUCAUUGCCUUUCUCUCUCUUCCAAUUCUGAUGGGCAUUGAAAAGGAAGAGGUAGACAGUGUAAUAUCCGAUAUCCCGCGGGAUGGCCCGCGAAGGCCUACAAAGAAUGCGGUAUGGGAUUGGGCAGCCUACAGGCCCGCCGUGUCCCGCCCGAAGACAAACCCGCAGCGGUCCGGGACAGGACGGGAGAACCCAAUUGACAUCUCUAUCCACAAUGUAGGUGUUCAAAAAAAAAAAAUUCCACAAUGUCUUUGUUGUGCCAUCUUUAUAUUCUACUAGAUAUGAACCCGUGCGUUGUAACAGGUUUUGUUUGAUAUUUUAAUUUAA
This is a long non-coding RNA of Brassica oleracea var. oleracea, 1174 nucleotides long. RefSeq lists it as uncharacterized. The transcript has 5 exons. Lineage: Eukaryota; Viridiplantae; Streptophyta; Magnoliopsida; Brassicales; Brassicaceae. The record is from RefSeq and is a predicted model, not a curated record.